CGGUUGAUCCUGCCGGAGGCCACUGCUAUGGGGGUCCGACUAAGCCAUGCGAGUCAUGGGGCGCCUUGCGCGCACCGGCGGACGGCUCAGUAACACGUCGGUAACCUACCCUCGGGAGGGGGAUAACCCCGGGAAACUGGGGCUAAUCCCCCAUAGGCCUGAGGUACUGGAAGGUCCUCAGGCCGAAAGGGGCUCUGCCCGCCCGAGGAUGGGCCGGCGGCCGAUUAGGUAGUUGGUGGGGUAACGGCCCACCAAGCCGAAGAUCGGUACGGGCCAUGAGAGUGGGAGCCCGGAGAUGGACACUGAGACACGGGUCCAGGCCCUACGGGGCGCAGCAGGCGCGAAACCUCCGCAAUGCGGGAAACCGCGACGGGGGGACCCCCAGUGCCGUGGCAACGCCACGGCUUUUCCGGAGUGUAAAAAGCUCCGGGAAUAAGGGCUGGGCAAGGCCGGUGGCAGCCGCCGCGGUAAUACCGGCGGCCCGAGUGGUGGCCGCUAUUAUUGGGCCUAAAGCGUCCGUAGCCGGGCCUGUAAGUCCCUGGCGAAAUCCCACAGCUCAACCGUGGGGCUUGCUGGGGAUACUGCAGGCCUUGGGACCGGGAGAGGCCGGGGGUACUCCUGGGGUAGGGGUGAAAUC
RNAcentral lists this ribosomal RNA (637 nucleotides) under uncultured archaeon. RNAcentral's name for it is "bacterial SSU rRNA". It matches the Rfam family "Archaeal small subunit ribosomal RNA", at positions 5 to 639 of the family's 1478-position model. The record is from RNAcentral.